GCCCGGGUAGCUCAGUGGUAGAGCGCAUUCUUGGUAAGAAUGAGGUCAAGGGUUCAAUCCCCUUCUCGGGCU
Molecule: non-coding RNA, 72 nt
Organism: Candidatus Woesebacteria bacterium
Lineage: Bacteria; Candidatus Woeseibacteriota
Source: Rfam